UACGUAGGGUCCGAGCGUUGUCCGGAAUUAUUGGGCGUAAAGGGCUCGUAGGCGGUCUGUUGCGUCGGGAGUGAAAACUUACAGCUUAACUGUGAGCGUGCUUUCGAUACGGGCAGUCUUGAGGCAUUCAGGGGAGAACGGAAUUCCUGGUGUAGCGGUGAAAUGCGCAGAUAUCAGGAGGAACACCGGUGGCGAAGGCGGUUCUCUGGGCCGAUACUGACGCUGAGGAGCGAAAGCGUGGGGAGCGAACAGG
Molecule: ribosomal RNA, 253 nt
Filed under: uncultured bacterium
Lineage: Bacteria
Description: partial 16S ribosomal RNA
Rfam family: Bacterial small subunit ribosomal RNA
Source: RNAcentral